GGCCCCUGUAGCCUUUUCGGGACACACCUUAUGAUGCCGGCCCCAUUGCCCUUUCAUGGUGGCUGAGCAGGCCAUGCGGACCCUCAGUUGGAAGCACACCCUGGGCCUGGUGACCAUGGAUGUGGAGCUGGCCGACCGCACGCUGUCUGUGGCGGUCACCCCGGUACAGGCGGUGAUCUUGCUGUAUUUUCAGGACCAAGCCAGCUGGACCCUGGAGGAACUGAGCAAGGCGGUGAAGAUGCCCGUGGCGCUGCUGCGGCGGCGGAUGUCCGUGUGGCUGCAGCAGGGUGUGCUGCGUGAGGAGCCCCCCGGCACCUUCUCUGUCAUUGAGGAGGAGCGGC
This 341-nucleotide small RNA is filed under the name Pan troglodytes (chimpanzee). RNAcentral describes it as "processed transcript". The record is from RNAcentral. Lineage: Eukaryota; Metazoa; Chordata; Mammalia; Primates; Hominidae.